This 200-nucleotide ribosomal RNA is filed under the name uncultured bacterium. RNAcentral describes it as "partial 16S ribosomal RNA". It matches the Rfam family "Bacterial small subunit ribosomal RNA", at positions 8 to 217 of the family's 1533-position model. The record is from RNAcentral.
AGAGUUUGAUCAUGGCUCAGGACUAACGCUGGCGGCGUGCCUAACACAUGCAAGUCGAACGAAGUAGCAAUACUUAGUGGCAGACGGGUGAGUAACACGUGGUCAACCUACCUCUUAGUGGGGGAUAACUAGCCGAAAGGUUAGCUAAUACCGCAUACGAUCGUCGAGCGGCAUCGCUUGACGAUGAAAGGAGCAAUUCG